RNAcentral lists this transfer RNA (68 nucleotides) under Spinactaletes boneti. RNAcentral's name for it is "tRNA-Ile". Lineage: Eukaryota; Metazoa; Arthropoda; Collembola; Entomobryomorpha; Actaletidae. The record is from RNAcentral.
AGUAAAAUGCCUGAUAAAAAGGAUUACCUUGAUAGGGUAAAUAAUGCAUAAUAUUAAUGUUUUUACUU